AUUGAACGCUGGCGGCAGGCCUAACACAUGCAAGUCGAACGAGUGGCGGACGGGUGAGUAAUGUCUGGGAAACUGCCUGAUGGAGGGGGAUAACUACUGGAAACGGUAGCUAAUACCGCAUACCAUCAGAGGUGCCCAAAUGGGAUUAGCUAGUAGGUGGGGUAACGGCUCACCAAGGCGACGAGCCCUAGCUGGCCUGAGAGGAUGACCAGGCACAAUGGAACUGUGACAAGGUCCAGACUCCUACGUGAGGCAGCAGUGGGGAAUAUUGCACAAUGGGCGCAAGCCUGAUGCAGCCAUGCCGCUGGUAUGAAGAAGGCCAUCGGGUUGUAAAGUACUUUCAGCGGGGAGGCGUUACCCGCAGAAGAAGCACCGGCUAACUCCGUGCCAGCAGCCGCGGUAAUAC
RNAcentral lists this ribosomal RNA (406 nucleotides) under uncultured bacterium. RNAcentral describes it as "partial 16S ribosomal RNA". It matches the Rfam family "Bacterial small subunit ribosomal RNA", at positions 30 to 526 of the family's 1533-position model. The record is from RNAcentral.